UAAGAAGAAAAGCUCGGUAGAAUGAUCUACCAUGGAAGACAUUGCAUUAUAAACAUAAGAGCAGAGUUAAUAUGUAAUCACUAAUCAAAAGAAAAGGAACCGAAGAGCUGAGAACAAUCAAGAAAGAAACCACAAAUGUCAAUGUUUAAUCUUACUCACUGGUUCGAGAAUAAUCGAGUUUCGAGCAUCACAAGACCAUGUCAUCCAAUCUACCGUCCAUGGUUCCUCCAUAAACUAUAACCAUUUAAUAAUCAAACCCGAUUCAGAGGUCAUCAAGCCUUUAACAUUAUGGAGAUAACCAGAAUAAACAAGUACCUGGGAAUCAGAAGAGGACUCUUCCCUGCAAGUUACACAUCAAUUCGUGGAAUGUGAAGUUUUUUGUUCCUAUUGUUUAGUUUUACUGUUUGAGUUAGAUUUUUUCUGUGAUUGAGCGUGAAUUGUGUUUUCUUUUUUCUUUUGAAUAUGCAUGCGUUUGGAAGUGUGUUUGUGUUAUGUUUUCGUGUGUUUAAAUUUCGUUUGAGCGUGAAUUUGUGUUUUAGAAUUUUGUUGUGAUUGAGCGUGAAUUUGUGUUUUUGCCAUCUUUGAUCUAUUUCUGGGAUAAAACAACAUGGAAAAAAUACAUGAUGAACAUGCCACAGGCCAGAGGACUAGUCUAUGGCCAGUUUGUGGUAAGAGAGAGAGAUACUUACCUCAACCCUUGUAUGCUGAAACUUUUGGUCUUUGCAGCUUAAAGAUAUUUCUUUUGAACGUGAAGUACCUGAUCAAUAAAGUCGGCAACAAACACAGAGAUUAUAAAACUAACUAGACCAACAAAAAAUAACAGAACCUUCUUUAUGGAAUAUCCUGGCUAUCUAACUAUGUUCACGAGAUACUCCAAGAAUAUAGUUUAAAAUUUCUAAUCCGACUCUUUCAAAUAAUUAAGUGUUGCUAACAAUUGAAAUGGAGAUAUGAAAAACAUCAAUUAGAGAAUCAGGUAACAUCUUAUGGACACUAAAACAUCUUAUGAGUAAGCAUUGGCCAAGUUUUGGUAUUAUCAAGUCUAAGAACUAUAGCUUCUAGACCUUACCUUGGAAGCUUUUUUGAACAAGUAUCCCUAUCUUCUCUACUGCGAUAGGCUGAUCAGCGAGCUUUAUUAUGUUUUCCUGCAAGUUUACAAAUAUUAUUGGAAAAUAGUCAGUAAUAACUUUGUCUUUUCUACACAAUUCUUAUUCAAGUAUACACGAAAUUGAGCCACAAAACAGCUUUCAAAGUUUUGAAUUAGCAAAAGUGAUUAUGAGAUUGAGAGACAAAACUGAAUCACGAAACGUUUACAAUUGCAUCGGCUGUGGCGCAUGAUGACAAACAGAGACAAAUCAUCACAAAUAGUUGUGAUUUUCAUAAUCAAAGAAACAACGAUCAAAUCAAAACACAUGUAACUGAUGUUAUUCAAAACCAUAAAACGUUGAUCAUAUAUCUAUUUAAUCUUUCAAAAACUAGCAAUAAACAAGAUUAACAGAGAUGAUACGAAGAUCAUCAUCACACUGAUUCUUCUAGAUCGCUAAGAAUAGGGUUUAUACCUGAGAGAUUUGUGCGUUUGUGUUCAACGAUCGAAGCAACAGACCCAGAUUUAAUCACACGCUUCUGUUCUGGAA
RNAcentral lists this long non-coding RNA (1631 nucleotides) under Arabidopsis thaliana (thale cress). RNAcentral describes it as "long non-coding RNA (ATHA_LNC000551)". Lineage: Eukaryota; Viridiplantae; Streptophyta; Magnoliopsida; Brassicales; Brassicaceae. The record is from RNAcentral.